AUUGAACGCUGGCGGCAGGCCUAACACAUGCAAGUCGAGCGGAUGAAGGGAGCUUGCUCCUGGAUUCAGCGGCGGACGGGUGAGUAAUGCCUAGGAAUCUGCCUGGUAGUGUGGGAUAACGUCCGGAAACGGGCGCUAAUACCGCAUACGUCCUGAGGGAGAAAGGGGGGGAUCUUCGGACCUCACGCUAUCAGGUGAGCCUAGGUCGGAUUAGCUAGUUGGUGGGGUAAAGGCCUACCAAGGCGACGAUCCGUAACUGGUCUGAGAGGAUGAUCAGUCACACUGGAACUGAGACACGGUCCAGACUCCUACGGGAGGCAGCAGUGGGGAAUAUUGGACAAUGGGCGAAAGCCUGAUCCAGCCAUGCCGCGUGUGUGAAGAAGGUCUUCGGAUUGUAAAGCACUUUAAGUUGGGAGGAAGGGCAGCAAGUUAAUACCUUGCUGUUUUGACGUUACCAACAGAAUAAGCACCGGCUAACUUCGUG
Molecule: ribosomal RNA, 484 nt
Filed under: uncultured bacterium
Lineage: Bacteria
Description: partial 16S ribosomal RNA
Rfam family: Bacterial small subunit ribosomal RNA
Source: RNAcentral